Molecule: RNA transcript, 2503 nt
Organism: Mauremys mutica (yellowpond turtle)
Lineage: Eukaryota; Metazoa; Chordata; Testudines; Geoemydidae
Gene: ZBTB9
Gene name: zinc finger and BTB domain containing 9
Exons: 2
Source: RefSeq, a predicted model, not a curated record
GGCGUGUUUCUCUGGGCCCGAGCACCCCAUCUGUCCUGCUCCAUUGACAUUUUCCUCCUGCAGCAGGCAGUGCCGGGGGUGGGGGUUUCUUGGGGCUUCAGCCCUUCCCCUCAUUCUGCUCCUCCCCUGGCAGUUGCUCUCCACCCCUGUGGCAGGCAGCACUAUGGGUAGGGAGUUUUUCUUAGCCUCAGCAUCCUUCACUCCCUGUCUCUCCCGUUGCAGUGAUCUGCCUUGGGCAGGCGGUGCCAUGGAGCCAGAGACCCGCAGCAUCCAGAUUGAGUUCCCGCACUAUGCUGCGGUGCUGCUGGAAUCACUCAACAAGCACCGCUUGGAGGGCAAGUUCUGCGACAUCUCCAUCCACGUGCAGGGCCGGGUCUUCCAGGCUCACAAGAGUGUGCUGGCCGCCUCCUCGCCCUACUUCCAUGACAAGCUGCUCCUUAACGACACCAACUGCAUUGUGCUGCCCAGUGUCAUUGAGCCAGAGGCCUUUGAGAAUUUGCUACAGCUCAUCUACUCUGGCCGUCUCAAGCUGCUGAUGGAGGCACUGCCCAGUCACCUGCUGGUGGCCAGCGGGCUGCAGAUGUGGCAGGUGGUGGACCAGUGCUCUGAGAUCCUUAAAGAGCUGGAGGGGGGACCCUGCCGUCCCUGGUCCAGCCGGGCAAGCGAGAGCCAGUCCCCCAGUAGCAGCAACUAUUUUGCUGUGAAGGAUGAUGGGGAGCCAGGGGGCAGCAGCUCAGAGGGGCCUGGGCAUGGUGGGGUGUCAUCAGGCCGGGCAGCUCCAGGCUGCCUUGACAAUGAGGUGAUGAAGAUCCGGGUGUCACAGGAGGAAGAGGAGGAGGAAGAGGAGGAGGAGGACCAUCAGGCUCAGAUCUGUAGCGGCUCAAUGGACAAGGCUGUGAAGAUUGUACUGGAGGAAGAUGAAGAGGGUGGUGGCAGAGGUGGCUCCAAGGGGCCGUCUUCAGGGGAGCUGGACAGUGCCUUCCAUGGCCCCCGUGACCACCCCAAGAUCUUCUACAUCAAGCAGGAGCACUUUGACCCUGAUGAGGCAGCAGGGGCAGCACUGGGAGGUGGUGUGAGUGCUGCGGGUGAGGCCAGCUUUCUCAAGUCGCUGGCACAGGGUCGGGCGUUGGGCAUGGCUGAGGUUCAGGGCCUGUGCCAGGCGGAGUUCCAGCCAAGCAGUGAAGUUAGCUACAUAAUCCCUGCUGCAGGCACUGGUGCCACCUCCUCCUCCUCCAUCACUGCCCCUGGCUUCACCAUUAAGGCCCAGCCCCUCUCCUCUGAAGAGGCCGGGUUCCCCCAGAGCUCCUGGAAGCCAGUGGACCUACAUGGCAAUGAGAUCAUUGCCCAUGCGGUGCAUGGCCAGGUGGUGCAUGCGCCCGUUAAAAUUGUGACGGCACCUGAUGGAAAGAAGUUUGGCUGCCUUUGUGGCAAGCGCUUUGCUGUCAAGCCUAAGCGUGACCGGCACAUCAUGCUGACCUUCAGUUUGCGCCCCUUUGGCUGUUCCGUCUGCAACAAGAAGUUCAAGCUGAAACACCACCUGACGGAGCACAUGAAGACCCACGAUGGGAACCUGUAUUCAUGCGAGGAUUGUGGGCGCAAGUUCCGUGUGCAGAACUGCUUCCUCAAGCACAAGGAGCUGUGCAAGGGCCAGGGCUGGGCCACUGCUUGCUGGACCUACAAAUAAAACCUGGGGUAGGACUGAUGGAGGACUCCUGCCAGCCUUCUCUAGGCCUGAUUUAGCCCCUGAGCUCUGUUGCUCUGUAUCCUUGCGGAUCUGCCCUCCUGAGCUUGGUAACCUGCUCCAGGGCCCUGGGGACACCAAAACAUGAAGGGACACAAAUGGGAGCUGGGCAGACCAGGGGAUUUGGCCCCAGCAUGUUGGCUCCCCAUGCUGCUUCAUGGCUUAGUGUUUCUGACAUACAGAACCUGCCAUGGGUCAAAGGAGGGGAGAUGUCCCAGGCUAAUGUUGGAGCUCAGGGCAGGAGGAUGGAGCAAGAGGCUGAUGGGAACCUCAAGGCUAGGGAUUAACAGCCACAUUACAUCCCUAUUCCCAAUCUGGCCUUGCCCUCCUCUGAAAGAAUACUGCUCUGUUGUGAGUGGACUCAACUGCUGGAUCCCACAUACUCUUCACUCAGCUGAGUCUGGGCAAAGCUGUGUCACUGUUCCUGCCUCUGGGUUUAUAAGGCACACUCCUAGGUGUGGAUUCCAUGGCUGCUGCCUUUCCUUGGGACGUGGGAAUCUGCAGCCCAACCACCCUAGCCACCAAAACCAGCACCUCAGCCUUCCCCAGCCCUCAACUGCUUGUACACAUUCCCUCAGAAUCUGCCUUGCUGUGGGCGCUCAGGGCAGAUGACUAACCCCUUAGGGACAAUAAGGGCUGCCACAGAUGGGAAAAGGGCCAAACCCCAUCCCUGAUACCCACUUCAUCCUUGGGCACCUGCCCUGUACUCCUCUACCCCCUCCAUGGAUGCCUCCCCCCAUACACCCCCUGCCCCCUCUUACC